Molecule: ribosomal RNA, 238 nt
Filed under: uncultured bacterium
Lineage: Bacteria
Description: partial 16S ribosomal RNA
Rfam family: Bacterial small subunit ribosomal RNA
Source: RNAcentral
UGAGGAACAUGACCUUCGGCGGGGGAUAGCCGGCCCAACGGCCGGGUAAUACCGCGUACGACCUUUCGGGGACAUCCCUGGGUGGUGAAAGCAGCAAUGCGCCGAUGGAGUGCCUCGCGGCCUAUCAGCUAGUUGGUGAGGUAACGGCUCACCAAGGCGACGACGGGUAGCUGGUCUGAGAGGAUGGCCAGCCACAUUGGGACUGAGACACGGCCCAGACUCCGUACGGGGAGNAGCG